GACGAACGCUGGCGGCGUGCUUAACACAUGCAAGUCGAACGCUGAAGCUCAGCUUUUGUUGGGUGGAUGAGUGGCGAACGGGUGAGUAACACGUGAGUAACCUGCCCCCUUCUUUGGGAUAACGCCCGGAAACGGGUGCUAAUACUGGAUAUUCACUGGUCUUCGCAUGGGGGUUGGUGGAAAGGGUUUUUCUGGUGGGGGAUGGGCUCGCGGCCUAUCAGCUUGUUGGUGGGGUGAUGGCCUACCAAGGCUUUGACGGGUAGCCGGCCUGGGAGGGUGACCGGUCACAUUGGGACUGAGAUACGGCCCAGACUCCUACGGGAGGCAGCAGUGGGGAAGAUUGCACAAUGGGCGCAAGCCUGAUGCAGCGACGCCGCGUGAGGGAUGGAGGCCUUCGGGUUGUGAACCUCUUUCGCUCAUGGUCAAGCCGCAACAAUGGUUGUGGUGAGGGUAGUGGGUAAAGAAGCGCCGGCUAACUACGUG
Molecule: ribosomal RNA, 483 nt
Filed under: uncultured bacterium
Lineage: Bacteria
Description: partial 16S ribosomal RNA
Rfam family: Bacterial small subunit ribosomal RNA
Source: RNAcentral